AACAUUCUUAAGUCCAUUGGAAAAUGGCGCCAUGGAGGGUGAUAGCCCCGUAAAGAUGUCGUUUGUUCUAUUUUCUCUGGCCACCAAAGAGUCGAGUUGUUUGGGAAUGCAGCUCUAAGUGGGUGGUAAAUUCCAUCUAAAGCUAAAUAUUGGCGAGAGACCGAUAGCGAACAAGUACAGUGAUGGAAAGAUGAAAAGCACUUUGAAAAGAGAGUGAAAAAGUACGUGAAAUUGUUGAAAGGGAAGGGCUUGCAAGCAGACACAACCUCGUGUUGGGCCAGCAUCGGGGCGAGAGGAAGUAAAAACGAUUUGGAAAUGUAACUUUCGAGUAUUAUAGACCUUAUCCCUCCCUUCCAUCUCAUCCCGAGGCCUGC
Molecule: ribosomal RNA, 374 nt
Filed under: Metschnikowia australis
Lineage: Eukaryota; Fungi; Ascomycota; Pichiomycetes; Serinales; Metschnikowiaceae
Description: partial large subunit ribosomal RNA
Rfam family: Eukaryotic large subunit ribosomal RNA
Source: RNAcentral